Melospiza melodia melodia is the source of this 632-nucleotide long non-coding RNA. RefSeq lists it as uncharacterized. The transcript has 2 exons. The record is from RefSeq and is a predicted model, not a curated record. Lineage: Eukaryota; Metazoa; Chordata; Aves; Passeriformes; Passerellidae.
GUUACCAGGGCGCGGAGCAGCGAGCAGCGAGCAACGCUGCCGGCUUUACGGGCUUGGAGGAGACGCGGGCAGCGGGGUCCCCCCCGCCCCGCACACCCAGGCUGAGGGGCUGCUUCGUUAUUCCUUUAAUUGAUUAUUUAUUAUUAUCAUCACCACCAUCGUCGUUAUUUAGGCUUCCACUCGUCGGAGGUUCAGCGAAGAAAGAGCUCGGAGGGUCAGGAUUAAGCAGGAGCCCCCCAGCAAGGUGCGUAGCUCGCUCAAAAUCAAUAGUGGCUGAACUCCCUUGGUCUCUCCCAGGACAGCAGAAUUUGCUAGCUGGUCCCUCCAGAAUGCGCCAGAAGGACCUUCCUGACGUCGGCUGGCAAAACCUUGCUGGUCUGUAGAGCUGUGUUUGACGUGGCACAGUGGAACGCGAACCUGACCUCGCCAGCGCCGAUACCUCCCCGUCCUUUGGGAAAACAGAGUUGGGCAAUCUGGCCUGUUCUAGUGACUCCUGGCAAAUGCAGGCCAAGCUCUUCGGUCCAGCAGUCACAGCUGGGUAAGCUGCAUGUCGUUCCCAGUUCUUGGGUUAAAACGGGAAUAGGCUUCCAACCUUGCUGUAUAAAUGCUACAUUAAAAUUUGUUGGCUUGAA